AUGACAUUAAAAUAAUAUAAUAACAUUUAUUUAAACAAAUCACACACAAAUCUCAAAUAGUAUAGAAUUUCAGAGUUUACAUAAUCAAGAGAUAUCACAUGAAAUAACAUAAUAUGUUUUAGAAAACAUUUAUCUUUAAAUAGAUUCGACGCGCCCAUUCGACUCUCCACGCGCCUCCGAUAUCAAUCACCUGAAACUGUUGAAUAUGGGAUGAGCAUACAGGGUACACUCAGUGUGGGAACAUGCAAUAAUUGUCCAUGUUAAUAAAAUGGUAACACAUAUUGUCAUAACGUAACAUAACUUCCAUACGCACUGUGGCAAUCCAAGGACUUUAAUGUCCCGGACCCUAUAUGUGGGCCCCUGGCGACAAUAUAAUGGUUGCAACCCUGUAACAUGAAAUCGCUUUGUGGCAUACCAAGGACGGUGAAGUCCUGGACCAAUUAUGCUGGCCCCUAGCGAUAAAUAUUUUUACAACACAUACGGUAAACACAUAAUAUUAAAAUGGACAAAUAUUAACCACGUGCAUGUACUGAAAUAAAUCCCACACCUGAAACUUGAACUUUUGAGUUUUGAAAAUUAACUGCAAGAAUUUAAAGUUCACGUCCUAGUCGCGCCGCACCUAGUCAGAUAAAUUCAAA
This 638-nucleotide long non-coding RNA is filed under the name Salvia miltiorrhiza (redroot sage). RNAcentral's name for it is "long non-coding RNA (SMIL_LNC010497)". The record is from RNAcentral. Lineage: Eukaryota; Viridiplantae; Streptophyta; Magnoliopsida; Lamiales; Lamiaceae.